GAGGUUAUAGUUCAGUGAUAGAGUCUGUGCUUAUUAUGUAACAGGUCCUGGGUUCAAUACCCAGUACCCUCA
This 72-nucleotide transfer RNA is filed under the name Camelus bactrianus (Bactrian camel). It matches the Rfam family "tRNA". From Rfam's summary of the family: Transfer RNA (tRNA) molecules are approximately 80 nucleotides in length. Lineage: Eukaryota; Metazoa; Chordata; Mammalia; Artiodactyla; Camelidae. RNAcentral also lists the same sequence under 3 other names. The record is from Rfam by way of RNAcentral.